Molecule: ribosomal RNA, 497 nt
Filed under: uncultured bacterium
Lineage: Bacteria
Description: partial 16S ribosomal RNA
Rfam family: Bacterial small subunit ribosomal RNA
Source: RNAcentral
GAUGAACGCUGACGGCGUGCCUAAUACAUGCAAGUCGAGCGAACGGACGAGAAGCUUGCUUCUCUGAUGUUAGCGGCGGACGGGUGAGUAACACGUGGAUAACCUACCUAUAAGACUGGGAUAACUUCGGGAAACCGGAGCUAAUACCGGAUAAUAUUUUGAACCGCAUGGUUCAAAAGUGAAAGACGGUCUUGCUGUCACUUAUAGAUGGAUCCGCGCUGCAUUAGCUAGUUGGUAAGGUAACGGCUUACCAAGGCAACGAUGCAUAGCCGACCCGAGAGGGUGAUCGGCCACACUGGAACUGAGACACGGUCCAGACUCCUACGGGAGGCAGCAGUAGGGAAUCUUCCGCAAUGGGCGAAAGCCUGACGGAGCAACGCCGCGUGAGUGAUGAAGGUCUUCGGAUCGUAAAACUCUGUUAUUAGGGAAGAACAUAUGUGUAAGUAACUGUGCACAUCUUGACGGUACCUAAUCAGAAAGCCACGGCUAACUACGUG